UACGUAGGUCGCAAGCGUUAUCCGGAAUUAUUGGGCGUAAAGCGCUCGUAGGCGGUUUGUCGCGUCUGCCGUGAAAGUCCGGGGCUCAACUCCGGAUCUGCGGUGGGUACGGGCAGACUAGAGUGAUGUAGGGGAGACUGGAAUUCCUGGUGUAGCGGUGAAAUGCGCAGAUAUCAGGAGGAACACCGAUGGCGAAGGCAGGUCUCUGGGCAUUAACUGACGCUGAGGAGCGAAAGCAUGGGGAGCGAACAGG
This 253-nucleotide ribosomal RNA is filed under the name uncultured bacterium. RNAcentral describes it as "partial 16S ribosomal RNA". It matches the Rfam family "Bacterial small subunit ribosomal RNA", at positions 524 to 776 of the family's 1533-position model. The record is from RNAcentral.